Gossypium arboreum is the source of this 107-nucleotide non-coding RNA. The record is from Rfam. NCBI's taxonomy places the organism in Eukaryota, Viridiplantae, Streptophyta, Magnoliopsida, Malvales, Malvaceae.
AAUCCAUGCAUUGGACAUUUUCGAAUUAAAUCUUUAAAUCAUUCCCAAGCUUCAUAUAAUGUUCCAUCCUCCUAUUGUCGAAAAGAAGUGAUGUAAUUUCUAAGCUU